UACGAAGGGGGCUAGCGUUGCUCGGAAUCACUGGGCGUAAAGGGUGCGUAGGUGGGCAGGUAAGUCAGUGGUGAAAUCUCUGGGCUUAACCCGGAAACUGCCGUUGAUACUAUCUGUCUUGAAUAUAGUGGAGGUGAGCGGAAUAUGUCAUGUAGCGGUGAAAUGCUUAGAUAUGACAUAGAACAUCGAUUGCGAAGGCAGCUCGCUACACUAUGAUUGACACUGAGGCACGAAAGCGUGGGGAUCAAACAGG
RNAcentral lists this ribosomal RNA (253 nucleotides) under uncultured bacterium. Its description in RNAcentral is "partial 16S ribosomal RNA". It matches the Rfam family "Bacterial small subunit ribosomal RNA", at positions 524 to 776 of the family's 1533-position model. The record is from RNAcentral.